This 209-nucleotide long non-coding RNA is filed under the name Panax ginseng (ginseng). RNAcentral's name for it is "long non-coding RNA (PGIN_LNC006865)". The record is from RNAcentral. Lineage: Eukaryota; Viridiplantae; Streptophyta; Magnoliopsida; Apiales; Araliaceae.
AAACCGGCACAACCUCUUACGGCUUGCACAAAAGUUCUUUAUUUGCUAUUCCAAAUAAAAUAUUUGUUAUUUUUUAUAACUCUUUCAUUUAAUAAAAAGUAAAGAAUUAUAAUUCAAAUAAAAAAUAAUAUCCUAUUUUAUAAAAAUAUAUUUUUAUAAUUUUUUAUUUGCUAUUUUUAUAAAAAUAUUUUAUAAAAAAUAAAGAAUAC